This 460-nucleotide ribosomal RNA is filed under the name uncultured bacterium. Its description in RNAcentral is "partial 16S ribosomal RNA". It matches the Rfam family "Bacterial small subunit ribosomal RNA", at positions 338 to 795 of the family's 1533-position model. The record is from RNAcentral.
CCUACGGGUGGCUGCAGUGAGGAAUAUUGCUCAAUGGACGAGAGUCUGAACCAGCCAAGUAGCGUGAAGGAUGACUGCUCUAUGGGUUGUAAACUUCUUUUAUAUGGGAAUAAAAUGCUCCACGUGUGGGAUUUUGUAUGUACCAUAUGAAUAAGGAUCGGCUAACUCCGUGCCAGCAGCCGCGGUAAUACGGAGGCUCCGAGCGUUAUCCGGAUUUAUUGGGUGUAAAGGGUGCGUAGGUGGAUUGUUAAGUCAGUUGUGAAAGUUUGCGGCUCAACCGUAAAAUUGCAGUUGAAACUGGCAGUCUUGAGUACGGUAGAGGUGGGCGGAAUUCGUGGUGUAGCGGUGAAAUGCUUAGAUAUCACGAAGAACUCCGAUUGCGAAGGCAGCUCACUAGACUACAACUGACACUGAGGCGCGAAAGUGUGGGUAUCAAACAGGAUUAGAUACCCGUGUAGUC